UACGGAGGGUGCAAGCGUUAUCCGGAUUCACUGGGUUUAAAGGGUGCGUAGGUGGGCUAGUAAGUCCGUGGUGAAAUCUCCAAGCUUAACUUGGAAACUGCCGUGGAUACUAUUAGUCUUGAAUAUUGUGGAGGUAAGCGGAAUAUGUCAUGUAGCGGUGAAAUGCUUAGAUAUGACAUAGAACACCGAUAGCGAAGGCAGCUUGCUACACAAUCAUUGACACUGAGGCACGAAAUCGUGGGGAUCAAACAGG
Molecule: ribosomal RNA, 253 nt
Filed under: uncultured bacterium
Lineage: Bacteria
Description: partial 16S ribosomal RNA
Rfam family: Bacterial small subunit ribosomal RNA
Source: RNAcentral